CACACAGAUGCGCAGUUAGAGAGAGAGAGAGAGAGAGGGGAGGGGAAAGCAGACAGGAUUUAGAGUUCAAGUGCACGUGCAGAAAAUAGGCUGAAUAGAGGAGAGACGGAGCAGAAAGGAAACCAGGAAAAGGAACGGCAGGGGCUUCAGACAAAGCACACAGUAGCUCUUUCUCUUCCUCUUUUCUUUCCUCUCUCUUGCAGAAAGAGGAGCCUCGGAACGGACGGAGGGGUGAAAAAAAAGAAUAGUGUAAGAAUGAAAAAAAUGUACUCCUAUUCCUGCUGCCCCCUCCUCUCCUUCUUUCCUCUCCCCACCGCCGACACACUCCUCCUUUAUCCCUCCCGCUUGGAUAUUUCUCCAUUAACCUCCACUCUUUCUCUCUCUUCUCUCUCCGGCUCUCCUUUUUUUUUUUUUUUUUACUCCCCUCCCACCUCUUCACACACAUGCACACGCCCCGGACUCCUUCCCACUCAUUUCCCCUCAUGCGCGCUUACUAUCCACUUUCACUGGAGACCGACCGCAAUGAGCUCAGUUUUUUCCUUCCCUUUUUCUUUCGCCUGCUGUUUUUCUUUGCUUUCGGUUGUGCCCUCCUGUACCGGAGGGGCAGCACCACACUGACGCUUCUUCACCCUCACUGUUGGCGGCGUCCCUGAAAAAUGCAGGCCGUGGAUUUGUCACUGCAUUAGACUGCAUGCCACCAAAACCGCUUGUCCUUUCCUGUAAACAUUUUUUUUCUUUUCCUUCUUGCAGCAUUUUUUUUGUUUUUUUCAACUCGACUUCUGCUGUCCAGAAAUAUCUGUGUUCUCAAGCGCGAGCUGAGGGGUUGAAGAAAGAGGAGGAAAAAAAAAGAAUCAUGUCUGAUCUGAUGAAUGGACAUAAGGAGGCUAAAAGAAUGAGGGGAGGGAAAAAUGGAGAGCAUGGUCUGCGAGAGAAAGCAAGAAAGAGUGAGGAAGAGAGGGAGAGGGUGAAAGACGUAGGAGAAAAAGAGUACCGGCACUGGCGAGAAAAAACAGGAGGGGGAAGAGAGGAAAAGGAGGACCAGUAGGGGAUAGACUUAGGAAGGAGGGACGGCUGGAUAGGAAUUGACAAAAUCGCGGGAAAAAGGAGAAAAAACAAAACUCCAGAUUGAGACCAAAGUGGACUUUUCUCCAAACUCAGACUCUGUGGCCGCCUCUGAUUUUUGCUUCCUGCUCUGAUUUUUUUCCCACCACCCUCUCAUUCAUCUAUUGAGCCCGAGACAUCCAAAACUUCCACACCUGAUUUUACAGGGAAUGCCAUGGUCAACCUUAGAAGCUCCCCAGUGAGACGAGAGCCAUGGGAAAAAGCUCCGGCUAGAUCCUGGUUCUGAGGUAAAUGCUUCGACAACAUCUGUUUCUUCCACACUAACAAAGACUCUGAAUGUGACUGAAAUGAAAGAGAGAGCAAACAGCUUGACAGAUCAGAGCUGGUGAUGGAGAACGUUGGCUUCAAACAUCCAGAGACACAAACAUUUUGAUGUCUCUUAGCUUUUUUUCUCUUCUCUGACAGUCUUUCUCCGUCUCCUUCUGUCUCUUUUAUUUUCACUCUCAUUGUAAAACACAAGUUUGUUCUAAUUGUGUUGACGCAAACUUGCCGCCACUAUAAAGAGGCUGCUUCGCAACUGGUUCGACACAUUCAGACCUGUUGGUCGAAGUCAGAGGGCCAUUAUUGUAUGUUAUUCAAUGUAAGUGCGUAUGGGAUCUCACAUAACUGCCCACAAGAUUACUCUCUUUCUAUACGUCUCUCUUUGACGAACACACAUCUUACCAAAAAAAAAAAAGAGCAUUUUAACCUGCAAAAACUGCCUUGCAUCAUCUGUCACCCACAGAGUCAAACCAGCAAUAAGAAAACCAAUUUAAAACGACACAUUGGAUGCAUAUAAAAAACCCCAUUAUGGAAUAAGAACAUUAAAUUGUUUGUGCGCAUUUUUUUCAUGCUUAGAUGUGCUGUGUGCACUGUGAACACACAAAUACACACACACACACACACACACACACACACACACACACACCAUCUCCUCUCCUACUUACACACACACACACACACACACACACACCAUCUCCUCUCCUACUUACACACACACACUCACACACUGGCCCACACAACCCAAUAGCCAUUGACAACAGUGCCCUAGCAACCAUUGGGCAUCAUGCCAAGCCACUGAGGUUGCCUGGUAGUGUGUUCCCAUGGUAACGUUUUCUGCCUUUGUAAAUAAGGUACGAGGAGAGCGAAAAGGGGGGUUUGGGAGAAAUUGCACUGCAGAAUCUCAUUCUAUCUUGAGAGAGCUAAUAAUUUAUGGUUUGUGAGCAGCAGAUUAUUAUCCUGUAUUCUUACUGAGGAGGUCCGUUAGCAUCAGCGGAGAUUUCAGGUCCAAGUCUUCGCCACAUAUGAUCAGAUCUACUUUUGCGGAGGACAAGGGAGAAGCAUGUAACCCGUGUCUGCUUUGGUGGUCGCUAAAUUACUUAUUUCUUAUUAAAUUCUGUGCGAGAAUAGCGAUUAAAUUUAAUGUCUACAUUGGACGCGUUUUCUAGAAGUAUUUGGUGUAUCCAUUUGUUUGUCUAUCCACAUAUUACAUUUUUUCACAGUGACUCCCUCUAUUUUAACUGUGUUUUCUGAUUCUAUUUUUUUUUUUUAUUUCUUGCAAUCAGAAAACAAUUAUGUCGAUACAAACAGCGUGUAGAGUCAAGCGGACCAGCGGUGGUCCUUAGCCCUGAGUUUUAGAACCGCUGUCUGAGGCCUCCAUUCCUGUUGAGCUGGCUCUUGCCACUUUAUUUGCUGUCACUGGGCAGAUUUCGCUCCUCUCUGC
Molecule: long non-coding RNA, 2824 nt
Organism: Amphiprion ocellaris (clown anemonefish)
Lineage: Eukaryota; Metazoa; Chordata; Actinopteri; Pomacentridae
Exons: 3
Source: RefSeq, a predicted model, not a curated record